GUGAGGAAUAUUGGUCAAUGGGCGAAAGCCUGAACCAGCCAUGUCGCGUGAAGGAUGAAGGUCCUAUGGAUUGUAAACUUCUUUUGCAGGAGGGUAAAGUGAGCUACGUGUAGUUCAUUGCAAGUACCCUGCGAAUAAGCAUCGGCUAACUCCGUGCCAGCAGCCGCGGUAAUACGGAGGAUGCGAGCGUUAUCCGGAUUUAUUGGGUUUAAAGGGUGCGUAGGCGGACUAAUUAGUCAGCGGUGAAAUUUUGCGGCUCAACCGUAAAACUGCCGUUGAAACUGUUAGUCUUGAGUGCGGUAGAGGUAGGCGGAAUGUGUGGUGUAGCGGUGAAAUGCUUAGAUAUCACACAGAACACCGAUUGCGUACGCAGCUUACUGGAGCGCAGCUGACGCUGAGGCACGACAGCGUGGGGAUCGAGCAGGAUUAGAAGCCCGGGUAGUCC
This 445-nucleotide ribosomal RNA is filed under the name uncultured bacterium. Its description in RNAcentral is "partial 16S ribosomal RNA". It matches the Rfam family "Bacterial small subunit ribosomal RNA", at positions 354 to 796 of the family's 1533-position model. The record is from RNAcentral.